UGGGCAAAAGUCCGCCUGAACA
Molecule: microRNA, 22 nt
Filed under: Tribolium castaneum (red flour beetle)
Lineage: Eukaryota; Metazoa; Arthropoda; Insecta; Coleoptera; Tenebrionidae
Description: tca-miR-3862-5p
Source: miRBase by way of RNAcentral